RNAcentral lists this ribosomal RNA (604 nucleotides) under uncultured bacterium. Its description in RNAcentral is "bacterial SSU rRNA". It matches the Rfam family "Bacterial small subunit ribosomal RNA", at positions 334 to 929 of the family's 1533-position model. The record is from RNAcentral.
GACUCCUACGGGAGGCAGCAGUGGGGAAUCUUCCGCAAUGGACGAAAGUCUGACGGAGCAACGCCGCGUGAGUGAUGACGGCCUUCGGGUUGUAAAGCUCUGUUAAUCGGGACGAAAGGCCUUCUUGCGAAUAGUGAGAAGGAUUGACGGUACCGGAAUAGAAAGCCACGGCUAACUACGUGCCAGCAGCCGCGGUAAUACGUAGGUGGCAAGCGUUGUCCGGAAUUAUUGGGCGUAAAGCGCGCGCAGGCGGAUCAGUCAGUCUGUCUUAAAAGUUCGGGGCUUAACCCCGUGAGGGGAUGGAAACUGCUGAUCUAGAGUAUCGGAGAGGAAAGUGGAAUUCCUAGUGUAGCGGUGAAAUGCGUAGAUAUUAGGAAGAACACCAGUGGCGAAGGCGACUUUCUGGACGAAAACUGACGCUGAGGCGCGAAAGCCAGGGGAGCGAACGGGAUUAGAUACCCCGGUAGUCCUGGCCGUAAACGAUGGGUACUAGGUGUAGGAGGUAUCGACCCCUUCUGUGCCGGAGUUAACGCAAUAAGUACCCCGCCUGGGGAGUACGACCGCAAGGUUGAAACUCAAAGGAAUUGACGGGGGCCCGCACAAG